This 76-nucleotide transfer RNA is filed under the name Corynebacterium sp. RNAcentral describes it as "tRNA-Arg". It matches the Rfam family "tRNA". Rfam says of the family: Transfer RNA (tRNA) molecules are approximately 80 nucleotides in length. Their secondary structure includes four short double-helical elements and three loops (D, anti-codon, and T loops). RNAcentral also lists the same sequence under 2 other names. The record is from RNAcentral. Lineage: Bacteria; Bacillati; Actinomycetota; Actinomycetes; Mycobacteriales; Corynebacteriaceae.
GCCCCAGUAGCUCAGUGGAUAGAGCACGGCUCUCCUAAAGCCGGUGUCGGAGGUUCGAAUCCUCUCUGGGGCACCG